RNAcentral lists this ribosomal RNA (781 nucleotides) under Streptomyces sp. Its description in RNAcentral is "bacterial SSU rRNA". It matches the Rfam family "Bacterial small subunit ribosomal RNA", at positions 59 to 856 of the family's 1533-position model. The record is from RNAcentral. Lineage: Bacteria; Bacillati; Actinomycetota; Actinomycetes; Kitasatosporales; Streptomycetaceae.
AAGUCGAACGAUGAACCACUUCGGUGGGGAUUAGUGGCGAACGGGUGAGUAACACGUGGGCAAUCUGCCCUGCACUCUGGGACAAGCCCUGGAAACGGGGUCUAAUACCGGAUACGAGCCUCCUCCGCAUGGUGGGGGUUGGAAAGCUCCGGCGGUGCAGGAUGAGCCCGCGGCCUAUCAGCUUGUUGGUGAGGUAACGGCUCACCAAGGCGACGACGGGUAGCCGGCCUGAGAGGGCGACCGGCCACACUGGGACUGAGACACGGCCCAGACUCCUACGGGAGGCAGCAGUGGGGAAUAUUGCACAAUGGGCGAAAGCCUGAUGCAGCGACGCCGCGUGAGGGAUGAAGGCCUUCGGGUUGUAAACCUCUUUCAGCAGGGAAGAAGCGAAAGUGACGGUACCUGCAGAAGAAGCGCCGGCUAACUACGUGCCAGCAGCCGCGGUAAUACGUAGGGCGCAAGCGUUGUCCGGAAUUAUUGGGCGUAAAGAGCUCGUAGGCGGCUUGUCGCGUCGGUUGUGAAAGCCCGGGGCUUAACCCCGGGUCUGCAGUCGAUACGGGCAGGCUAGAGUUCGGUAGGGGAGAUCGGAAUUCCUGGUGUAGCGGUGAAAUGCGCAGAUAUCAGGAGGAACACCGGUGGCGAAGGCGGAUCUCUGGGCCGAUACUGACGCUGAGGAGCGAAAGCGUGGGGAGCGAACAGGAUUAGAUACCCUGGUAGUCCACGCCGUAAACGGUGGGCACUAGUGUGGGCGACAUUCCACGUCGUCCGUGCCGCAGCUAAC